Molecule: ribosomal RNA, 767 nt
Filed under: Klebsiella pneumoniae
Lineage: Bacteria; Pseudomonadati; Pseudomonadota; Gammaproteobacteria; Enterobacterales; Enterobacteriaceae
Description: bacterial SSU rRNA
Rfam family: Bacterial small subunit ribosomal RNA
Source: RNAcentral
AGUUUGAUUCCUGGCUCAGAUUGAACGCUGGCGGCAGGCCUAACACAUGCAAGUCGAGCGGUAGCACAGAGAGCUUGCUCUCGGGUGACGAGCGGCGGACGGGUGAGUAAUGUCUGGGAAACUGCCUGAUGGAGGGGGAUAACUACUGGAAACGGUAGCUAAUACCGCAUAACGUCGCAAGACCAAAGUGGGGGACCUUCGGGCCUCAUGCCAUCAGAUGUGCCCAGAUGGGAUUAGCUGGUAGGUGGGGUAACGGCUCACCUAGGCGACGAUCCCUAGCUGGUCUGAGAGGAUGACCAGCCACACUGGAACUGAGACACGGUCCAGACUCCUACGGGAGGCAGCAGUGGGGAAUAUUGCACAAUGGGCGCAAGCCUGAUGCAGCCAUGCCGCGUGUGUGAAGAAGGCCUUCGGGUUGUAAAGCACUUUCAGCGGGGAGGAAGGCGGUGAGGUUAAUAACCUCAUCGAUUGACGUUACCCGCAGAAGAAGCACCGGCUAACUCCGUGCCAGCAGCCGCGGUAAUACGGAGGGUGCAAGCGUUAAUCGGAAUUACUGGGCGUAAAGCGCACGCAGGCGGUCUGUCAAGUCGGAUGUGAAAUCCCCGGGCUCAACCUGGGAACUGCAUUCGAAACUGGCAGGCUAGAGUCUUGUAGAGGGGGGUAGAAUUCCAGGUGUAGCGGUGAAAUGCGUAGAGAUCUGGAGGAAUACCGGUGGCGAAGGCGGCCCCCUGGACAAAGACUGACGCUCAGGUGCGAAAGCGUGGGGA